CCAACGGCCCUUUUCAGGGCCAACCAUUACCAAACAGCUCUUUU
Non-coding RNA from Strongylocentrotus purpuratus (purple sea urchin), 44 nucleotides. Lineage: Eukaryota; Metazoa; Echinodermata; Echinoidea; Camarodonta; Strongylocentrotidae. The record is from Rfam.